CAGUCUCCUGAUUGAUGGUUGAACUUCCUUCACUACCCCCUGUGAACACAAGGACAACACAAGAGGCUGUAGCAGAGGAAGAAUUUGACACUACACAAGUGCUAAUCCCACCAUCGCGGAUGCAAUCUCCAUCUUCCACUCCUGUAAGAGGUUGUACUCAAGGGCCAAAUGUUGCAAUGCCUCAAUAUUCAUGUAUUGCAGAUCACAAUGCAGCAACAGGGCAAAGAGGAGAUGAGAGAGAUAUGACUUAAGAAGAAGGUGCUUCUCCAAAUGUGGCAGCUUUAUCACCUGGAACAAGGUUAAAAGAUUUAAGGAGAAAGACCCAAGGUGGAAAGCGUGGAGAAGCAAUAGUGAAGUGCAUAGAAUCAACAGAGAAGCCUAUCGUCAGAAUAUGGCAAAAUACCAUGCUAUCAUGCUAUCAUGCAAGGUCUUGCAGGGUCACUUUAGGAAGACGAAGAAGAGAGUAGGGAAAGGUUCACGGAAAUAAACUCACAAAUGAACUGUCUA
Molecule: long non-coding RNA, 507 nt
Organism: Anolis sagrei ordinatus
Lineage: Eukaryota; Metazoa; Chordata; Lepidosauria; Squamata; Anolidae
Source: RefSeq, a predicted model, not a curated record